CCAAAACCCUCCUUCGACGACACUUCGUUUGCUCCUCCGCGCACCGAUACUCGCCGCGAGAGAUGGCCUCCGUCGCCGCCAGAUCCAUUUUCCGGUCGGCCUCCGCCCGCAGCGCCGCGUCGCGGGUGGCGUCCGGGGCCGCCAAACCCGCCCGGUCCGCGCCCCGCGCCGCCGCGACCAACCGGCCCCUCUCUCAUCGGAUUUUCAGGAGCCCCGUGGAGAUGAGCGCCUGCGCGGAGACGAUGCUGCCGUACCACACCGCUACUUCCUCGGCAUUGAUGACUUCGAUGCUCUCCAUCACUCGCCGCUCCUAUGGAUGGCUUCCCGAUGGUAUCUAACCAUCACUCGUAGGCCACCUUGAUAGCCUUUUCUUGCUUUAUAUCUUCUGCUUGCAAUGAUGAUGUAUGACCAAGGCAUCGGCACAAGUAUUGUCAAAGAGUUCAUGCAUCUGAGAGAUCGUGCAACGAGGUCCUGGCAAUCCCAUUAUGGAAUUUUCUCUCUUUGGUUCUCGUUUUCUCCUCUUGACUUUCCUUCUAAAAGUAUCCUCUUGCACAUUUAGGAUCAAAGCUGUCAUGUUUUUCAAUCUGUUCUUUCUUUAUUACCCCGACGAUAAAGCUUUUAAAGCUGUAUUGCUACAUUUCUUCUUUAGUUCAUUAUGACGAUAAUGUAAUGGCAUAGAGCAGUUUGUUUAGACCUUGCAAAA
Eucalyptus grandis is the source of this 703-nucleotide RNA transcript. It is a transcript of the gene named protein NUCLEAR FUSION DEFECTIVE 6, mitochondrial, with no coding region annotated. The record is from RefSeq and is a predicted model, not a curated record. The transcript has 4 exons. Lineage: Eukaryota; Viridiplantae; Streptophyta; Magnoliopsida; Myrtales; Myrtaceae.